RNAcentral lists this ribosomal RNA (482 nucleotides) under uncultured bacterium. RNAcentral describes it as "partial 16S ribosomal RNA". It matches the Rfam family "Bacterial small subunit ribosomal RNA", at positions 28 to 507 of the family's 1533-position model. The record is from RNAcentral.
GAUGAACGCUAGCGGCAGGCCUAAUACAUGCAAGUCGGACGGGAUUCAGGAGCUUGCUUCUGAUGAGAGUGGCGCACGGGUGCGUAACACGUAUGUAACCUACCUUUAUCAGGGGGAUAGCCUCUCGAAAGAGAGAUUAAGCCCGCAUAAAAUCACAGCACAGCAUUGUGUAAUGAUCAAAUAUUUAUAGGAUAAAGAUGGGCAUGCGGAACAUUAGCUAGAUGGCGGGGUAACGGCCCACCAUGGCGACGAUGUUUAGGUGAUCUGAGAGGAUGGCCCCUCACACUGGUACUGAGACACGGACCAGACUCCUACGGGAGGCAGCAGUAAGGAAUAUUGGUCAAUGGGCGGAAGCCUGAACCAGCCAUGCCGCGUGCAGGAAGACGGCCCUACGGGUUGUAAACUGCUUUUAUACGGGAAUAAACCCAGAUACGUGUAUCUGGCUGAAUGUACUGUAAGAAUAAGGAUCGGCUAACUCCGUG